AUGGCUUUUAUCAUGGAUCGACAUGAGUUCAUGGCUGUUGUUCUCAUCCUGUCAAUUAACUGGGCUGGUGUUGAUGGUCAGACUCUGACAGAAUCUGAACCAGCCAUUAAAAAGCCUGGAGAAUCCCACACACUGACAUGUACAGUAUCUGGAUUCACAUUCAGUGACUACUGGAUGGGCUGGGUCAGACAGGCUCCUGGAAAAGGACUGGAGUGGGUUGCUUAUAUCAGUAGUGGCAGUGGUAGCACCAAAUUCUACUCUCAGUCAGUCCAGGGCCGGUUCACCAUCUCCAGAGACAACAGCAGACAGCAGCUGUAUCUGCAGAUGAACAGUCUGAAGACUGAAGAUUCUGCUGUUUAUUAUUGUGAUCGAGACUCACAGUGA
Molecule: non-coding RNA, 384 nt
Organism: Pelmatolapia mariae (spotted tilapia)
Lineage: Eukaryota; Metazoa; Chordata; Actinopteri; Cichliformes; Cichlidae
Source: the annotation of a RefSeq genome assembly